Molecule: ribosomal RNA, 453 nt
Filed under: uncultured Gammaproteobacteria bacterium
Lineage: Bacteria; Pseudomonadati; Pseudomonadota; Gammaproteobacteria
Description: bacterial SSU rRNA
Rfam family: Bacterial small subunit ribosomal RNA
Source: RNAcentral
AGAGUUUGAUCCUGGCUCAGAAUGAACGCUGGCGGUAGGCCUAACACAUGCAAGUCGAACGGUAACGGACCGCUGGGAUUCCUUCGGGAUGACCUUGGUGCCGACGAGUGGCGGACGGGUGAGUAACACGUAGGAAUCUGCCAAACAGUGGGGGACAACCCGGAGAAAUCCGGGCUAAUACCGCAUACGCCCUACGGGGGAAAGCGGGGGACCUUCGGGCCUCGCGCUGUUUGAGGAGCCUGCGUCGGAUUAGCUUGUUGGUGAGGUAAAGGCUCACCAAGGCGACGAUCCGUAGCUGGUCUGAGAGGAUGAUCAGCCACACUGGGACUGAGACACGGCCCAGACUCCUACGGGAGGCAGCAGUGGGGAAUAUUGCACAAUGGGCGAAAGCCUGAUGCAGCCAUACCGCGUGGGUGAAGAAGGCCUUAGGGUUGUAAAGCCCUUUCAGCAGGG